UGGGGAAUAUUGCGCAAUGGGCGAAAGCCUGACGCAGCGACGCCGCGUGAGGGAUGAAGGUCUUCGGAUCGUAAACCUCUGUCAGAAGGGAAGAAACUAGGGUGCUCUAAUCAUCAUCCUACUGACGGUACCUUCAAAGGAAGCACCGGCUAACUCCGUGCCAGCAGCCGCGGUAAUACGGAGGGUGCAAGCGUUAAUCGGAAUCACUGGGCGUAAAGCGCACGUAGGCUGUUAUGUAAGUCAGGGGUGAAAUCCCACGGCUCAACCGUGGAACUGCCCUUGAUACUGCACGACUUGAAUCCGGGAGAGGGUGGCGGAAUUCCAGGUGUAGGAGUGAAAUCCGUAGAUAUCUGGAGGAACAUCAGUGGCGAAGGCGGCCACCUGGACCGGUAUUGACGCUGAGGUGCGAAAGCGUGGGGAGCAAACAGG
This 429-nucleotide ribosomal RNA is filed under the name uncultured bacterium. RNAcentral describes it as "bacterial SSU rRNA". It matches the Rfam family "Bacterial small subunit ribosomal RNA", at positions 355 to 776 of the family's 1533-position model. RNAcentral also lists the same sequence under 1 other name. The record is from RNAcentral.